Leptonychotes weddellii (Weddell seal) is the source of this 2940-nucleotide non-coding RNA. The record is from RefSeq and is a predicted model, not a curated record. NCBI's taxonomy places the organism in Eukaryota, Metazoa, Chordata, Mammalia, Carnivora, Phocidae.
GAUCCCAAGACCCUGGGAUCAUGACUUGAGCCGAAGGAAGCCGCUUAACGACUGAGCCACCCAGGUGCCCCCGUGGAAAACUAUUCUUAAUGCACCAUUCUUGUUUACUACAUUUAUGUUAACUGAUCUUACUCUUUCCUCAGUGAGCUUAAGAUAGACUUUUGGAAGAAAUUAAUCUUUGUGUAUUCUGUAAGUGCUUAAUUUCUUUUCCUACAAGUGUGUUGCUUUAAAAAGAAUAAAAAAAAUUGUGACUGACACAGUGUCUAGAAACAAAUGAUCUCAGACAUCUCAGUCUAAUUACCAAUAAUGUUUUGCUGUUCAGCAGUUGUCACAUGAAGGUUUGGAAGCUAAAUACUUCUGCAAUCUCUGGAGUUGAGGGAGCUACGGACAUUGCAAGACCUGUGAAAAGGAAUGGUAUUUUUAGCCAUCUAAACAAAAAUUUUACAUAAAUGGCCCCAAAUUAUUAUUAAACAGACCUGCUGACUCUUGAUGCAAUCCAUACUUGGAAGUUUUACUUAAGUAUAAUUUUUUCUAGGCCUGGAGAACUUUAAGUUUUAGAGAGCUAGGUUUUCUUUGCAAACUCUACACCCAACUUAAUCCUAAAUUUUCCUUAUAGUGUUCAUUUUACCUUUUCAAUUUAGUGAUUGAUUUUUUUCUGCAUCAACCACUUGUGUCAAGCAUUUUCUCUUAUCCUUUUCUGGACAUGGUCAGAAAAAUGUCAUUUUUGUUGCCCUUGGUUUAUUAUCAGCUUUAACCAAUAGUAUUCAUUUUUCUAGUAGGUUGGUGCCCCUCGAUUGUUAGAUUACCAUGGUUUCUGUUCUGUUUAAUAAAAUUAGACUCAAUUAGACAUUAUGUAGGUUUCACUUUACUAGUCAGUUGGUAUACUCCUAUAUCCCUGUUCCAUUUCUUUUCAUUGCCUUGUUUUUCUUUCUCAAUUCUAGACCCAAAUAAUUCCUUAUGCAGACCUUCAAAUCAUAUGCGAGGUUCUCUUGUCCUCUGUUCACCAAAGAAGUAUCAUUUGGUCUGCUCAGGCCAUAUUGCCGUUAGUAGGGUCAUUCUUCAUAAUUCCCCUGGUGCCCACAUAACAGAAUCUCCUUGUGCAUUCUUUUCCAUUUCUGGGUAUUCAGCUUAGACCAGACUGACAAAAGGCUUCUCUAACCUUCCUUACUCAGGGUCCCUUCUCCCCACCACUCCUGUUGCUGCUACUGCUUCUCCUUUAUCUCUAGUUGACUCCAGUUUCUGGAAUCAGUGUUUAUCAUAAAAACAAACAAAAAUUACCUGUAUUCUUACUGAAUCCCCUGCUCCACAGAGUCACAGUUUGAGCCUUGGAUACCUGAUUUGCGUCAGAGAUACCGUCUCUGGUUUGACAAUCUCCAGAAAUCUGAGCAUCAAAGGGGAAAUUUGCUAAGUGUGCAAGGUGAAUGUUUGAACCUGAAUAUGAAGAAAGAGUAGACCUGCUUACUAAUAACUUUAGUUUAUGUGGCUUCCAAGAAGAGUAGACUUCAUUACAUGUUUUAGGACUCCCAUGGUUCUUGGUUCUCUAUUUUACUCUUCCAGAGACCAACAAGAGAUACCUUUUUGAAUUCACCCUAUGUGGACUGGACCAUGCCCAAGGAUUUUCAUGGGCAGCACAGUGGGUCUUAUGGUAACGUUCUUCUCAAGACUCUGAGAAGAGGUAGCAGAAAAGAUCUGUUAAGAAAUCUGGGCAUUUUAUAACCAGGUGAGAUCAGAUGACUCUUCUAUUGAAACAAGGAUCUCCAGACUGGGGAUUCAACAAGAGGGAAAGAAUGGCAUCUGUUACCAGAAAGUCAUUUCUGGUGCUCUUUGGAAGAAAAGAGAAAGACAGACAAAUCCUGAAUUCUUAUUUACCACAACAAUAUUCUAUUAAACUCUGUGUAUUAAAUACACAUCAUAUCAACCAUAUUAGCUAGCAAUUAAAUGAAGUGAGCCAAAAUGAACAAAUAUUCUUGAACAGUAAGUUCAACAUAAAAUAUAACAGAAAAGAAAAACUCUGGAUCUUUUUUUUUUUAAAAGCUAUUAGCAGGAUAACAUGUAUAUAAAGAUUCUAUCCUCAACAUGUCUGAAGCCAUGGCCAUCAGUAUUUUUCUCCCAACUAUUUUUCUUACUUGAGAAAUAAGGUAAAUUACACAGUCGUAUCCAACUUUACUGAAUAUGUUACUGAAAUAAUCAAUUUCAAGUUUUCUGUGAGACAGAACUUCUUUAUGAGAAUGUGAACAUAGCAGAGUGCUAACUUAGAGACUAACACUUUGCUUUCUAAGGAAGUAUCCUGGACAUCAAAAUCAACAAUUGAAUAUGACACAUCAACUCUCUCCUCCUUUCACCACAAAAAAUCGGUACAUGUUUAGCUUUGUUUGACUGCUGUUAAGUCCUUAAUAUUUUCUCCUGAGAAAAGGUAGAAGACAAAAGCCCAGAGCCAAGUUCUUUUCCAGGGGGCUGUGGAAGAAAGCUUUUGGCAAAUGAAAAUGGGAGAUGCACUAAUGUUAAUACUGCUUCUUUAAGGAGAGGUAAUUACCCCCAGAAGAUGGAGAGGGGGUUAUUUUCUCAUUCUUCGGAGAAAUAUUUAAAUCCUAGAAUAAUGAAGAUUCACUUUACUUUGACUUUCUUACUAUUUCAUAACCAUAUCCCAUUGAACCAGUUUUUAUCCACGUACUAUUGCAAUAAUUCAUUGACUUUGAUUAUCACAUUACUUUAUUCUCUCACUAUAAAUUUGAAUCACUUUGAAAUAAAGGAAGAAUGAAAUAGAAAAACUGAAAAUAAUAGUUUAAUUCUGGGCUAGCCCCUUCCUUCAAGUUACAAGUUCCAUUUCUUUUACAGGGAAAUUGUUUGUAAAAGGAAGAAAUAUAUUUAGGUUAUCUUUCUUUAAUCUUAUGUGUUUAAGCAUGGAACGAAAUGAAAAUUAAACUAUUCUUUUGAAACUAA